This 312-nucleotide long non-coding RNA is filed under the name Elaeis guineensis (African oil palm). RNAcentral's name for it is "long non-coding RNA (EGUI_LNC047601)". Lineage: Eukaryota; Viridiplantae; Streptophyta; Magnoliopsida; Arecales; Arecaceae. The record is from RNAcentral.
CAGGCUAAGAAUGAAGCAAGUUUUUGCUGGAUAAGAUAAUUAUAUGAUAACAUCUUAUUAUUUCUCAAUUUAUGAUUCUACUAUCUGGAUAUUAGAUAUCACAAGCUCUUUGAAUACUUUUAAUUCAUUGCAGGAUCUGUAAGUCGGUAGGAGAUUUGAAAAAGAUAAAAGAUUUCUUAAUGUUGGAGAUAGAAGAUCAGUUUCAGUUCUAGUGUUAGAAAUUUAUUAAGCUUAUAUUCAAGUCCAAUAUAAUUGUUCUUAGUGAAUAUCACGUUUGUCCUUCUUUUUUAUUGAAUAUUAUUUCUAUAGACC